ACGGGAGGCGCAGUGGGGAAUAUUGCCCAAUGGGGGAAACCCUGAUGCAGCGACUCCGCGUGAGCGAAGAAGUAUUUCUGUAUGUAAAGCUCUAUCAGCAGGGAAGAAAAUGACGGUACCUGACUAAGAAGCCCCGGCUAACUACGUGCCAGCAGCCGCGGUAAUACGUAGGGGGCAAGCGUUAUCCGGAUUUACUGGGUGUAAAGGGAGCGUAGACGGCAAGGUAAGUCUGAAGUGAAAUGCCGGGGCUCAACCCCGGAACUGCUUUGGAAACUAUCUCGCUCGAGUACCGGAGGGGUAAGUGGAAUUCCUAGUGUAGCGGUGAAAUGCGUAGAUAUUAGGAGGAACACCAGUGGCGAAGGCGGCUUACUGGACUGUAACUGACGUUGAGGCUCGAAAGCGUGGGGAGCAAACAGGAUUAGAUACCCUGGUA
Molecule: ribosomal RNA, 433 nt
Filed under: uncultured bacterium
Lineage: Bacteria
Description: partial 16S ribosomal RNA
Rfam family: Bacterial small subunit ribosomal RNA
Source: RNAcentral